UUAUUGAUAAGUUUGUAACUUUUUUCUUUCUUUGUUUAUUUUCCCUAAUAUUUGUUUUUGCAUUCCUUUUAUGGUUGUAGAUUCAAUUAGAGGGUGAGGUUUAUUCUAGCUUGUUAUAGUUUCGAUAUUGCAUAUAUUGAGUGGGUUUCAGGAGUUGAUUCGAUCCUCCACAUAACCUUCCGCAUCGGCCUAUCCCUCUUGGCCUCAGUAGAGACC
RNAcentral lists this long non-coding RNA (216 nucleotides) under Carica papaya (papaya). RNAcentral's name for it is "long non-coding RNA (CPAP_LNC006852)". The record is from RNAcentral. Lineage: Eukaryota; Viridiplantae; Streptophyta; Magnoliopsida; Brassicales; Caricaceae.